Poecilia reticulata (guppy) is the source of this 440-nucleotide non-coding RNA. The record is from RefSeq and is a predicted model, not a curated record. NCBI's taxonomy places the organism in Eukaryota, Metazoa, Chordata, Actinopteri, Cyprinodontiformes, Poeciliidae.
GUUUCAGAACCACUGAUUCAAAGUUCGUUUAAUAUAAAUAAUCUCACCGGAACAUAAACACCAUGUGUGUCAGCGAGGCGGGAGCGGCUUUAUUUCCCCUGGUGGAGGGACAGUGGGCAGCGAACCCAGAGAGGAACAGAGCGAUGCAACCUUCAAAGAGCCGCGGCUACAAGAGCUGCUGUCGGGUUCAUGGCGCCCGUAAGAGGCUGAUGUGCUGGAUUCCUCCGCGUCUCUCGGCGGGCAGCAGAGUGCUCUGCUGCGCACAUUAAUGUGUUUAAUUCAGCCUUUCACCUCCUCUCUUCUCUCUGAAUGGGCCUUAAAAGCAAGGAUGAGAGCAUAAACGCUGCUCACCGCUGCAGUUCUUACGUAAACCGCGUUGUGAGGUCACAUGGAUUCAUUACUUCGCUGAACGUUUAAGUACAUAAACGGUUUGUUGAUUA